Molecule: ribosomal RNA, 312 nt
Filed under: uncultured bacterium
Lineage: Bacteria
Description: bacterial SSU rRNA
Rfam family: Bacterial small subunit ribosomal RNA
Source: RNAcentral
GAGGAAGGUGGGGACGAGGUCAAGUCAUCAUGCCCCUUACGUCUAGGGCUGCACACAUGCUACAAUGGGCGGUACAGAGGGCUGCUAAACCGCGAGGUGGAGCCAAUCCCUAAAGCCGCUCUCAGUUCAGAUUGCAGGCUGCAACUCGCCUGCAUGAAGUUGGAGUUGCUAGUAAUCCCGGAUCAGCACUGCCGGGGUGAAUACGUUCCCGGGCCUUGUACACACCGCCCGUCAAACCACGAAAGUUGGCAACACCCGAAGCCGGUGGCCUAACCGCAAGGAAGGAGCCGUCGAAGGUGGGGUCGGUGAUUG